This 67-nucleotide transfer RNA is filed under the name Empis caudatula. Its description in RNAcentral is "tRNA-Ser". Lineage: Eukaryota; Metazoa; Arthropoda; Insecta; Diptera; Empididae. The record is from RNAcentral.
GAAAUAUGACGCCCAAAAGAAAGCUGCUAACUUUCUUCUUUAAUGGUUAAAUUCCAUUUAUAUUUCU